Diorhabda carinulata is the source of this 4506-nucleotide long non-coding RNA. RefSeq lists it as uncharacterized. The transcript is spliced from 2 exons. NCBI's taxonomy places the organism in Eukaryota, Metazoa, Arthropoda, Insecta, Coleoptera, Chrysomelidae. The record is from RefSeq and is a predicted model, not a curated record.
AUGUUAGGUUAGGUUAGAUUACAGAAAUUACAGAAAAAGAGGGAUUGUCGUAUUUGAAGAAUUCUGGGCUUUAGCAAACGUCAACACACAAAGGGAUUUUAUAGCAAACUAUGUUGAGUACAAAAACAAAAUGAGACAACGCAGAAGACCAAUUAAUGAAGAAUCUGCUGAAACUAUAAGUAGGCGAUCAUUUACUUACACGUAUUGUUUGCCUAUUGAGCAAACCAAGAUCCAAGUUUGCAAGACAUUUUUUAUCAACACAUUAAAUAUAAGUGCUCAAGUGGUGAAAACAGUUUUUAAUAAGCUAGGAAGCGCUGGGGUGGUAAAAGAAGAUAGGAGAGGAAGAGCAUCAAAAAACAAACUUCUAGACGUUUUUGUGUCUAUUUUUUCAUCCAUUCUUUCGACGACGCCAACACGUGUUCGGUGCAUGCUAAGACAUGCAUAUAAGAAAAUUAAAAAAAAGUUUUAUAAUUACUUCGAACACAUAACAUAAAGCAGGAGAGCUCGCAAGGUCUAUAUUUAAUUUAAUCGUAAGGUUAAAGUGCAUUUAGGUUAUGUUACGAACCAUAUGAUAUUAUUAAGAACGUGCAGACAAUAUAAAAUAUUUCAAUUUAUAAAUAAUGUUAAAAAUAAAAAAACAAAAACCUUUAAUAAUAAUAUCAAUUUUUCACCCCCAUUUAUUCUGUAACUUCAUGUUGUUUUGUUUUCUUUAUGAUAAACUGUGGUUAUUAGUUGUUUGGUUUAGCUAUUGUCAACAAUAAAAAAGAAGAAGACUAGAUAAACACAUCGAAUUAAAAGCAAUUUAAUGAACAGAUUCUAAUUUUAAAAAUUAAUAAAAAAUACACUUGUUUUAAUUGGAUAUAUAAAAAUAUAUAGAUCCAAAUAAACAAAAUAUUUUUAUUAUUUCUUUCAUCAUAAAAAUCCACCUGUCGACUUGAUGAUAUAUACACUCAGUCACUAAAUAUAAAAUCAAGAUGGGGUUUUAUUAAAAUUGAGUUAAACACAUAAAAAGGGUUGAAAAUACUUUUAUCAACAAGUUUCAGCUGUUCGGUAACCGUAAAGAUACGUCGUGCAAUUACAAUUUCAAAAAAAUAUGUUUGUUUAAAAAGCAAUUAUUUUUUUUUUCUAUUUAUUUGUAUUAGAGUGGCGUAGCAACAGAAGAAGCACACGUCUGGAAUAUCAACACUUUCAACAACAGGUUGUAUGUUAUCGUUUUGUUUACAGGGGUAAAGAAAACAUGUUGGGAGUAAUUUAUUUGAGAGACACUUUCUUAUACAUAAAAAAUAUGUUAUGUUGAUGCUUUUACGAAAGUAUAAACUUUCAAUGGCUAUUUAAUAGUAAAAAAACAUUUAAAAAAAGGAUAUCUUAUAAAUAUGAAACUAAUUUAUUUAUUAGGUAGUUUAUAUAAUUCAUUUUUCAUUAUUUUCUAAUUACAUAACAUAAACAAAAUUCAAAAGUCAACGAACUGGACACGUCAUGUUUCAAUUUCAAUCGAUUGACAGAUCAUAGAUAAUAGAAAAGUAAAAAGGUUAACUAAAAAUUAAAUAUGAAGUAGGUUUAUUUUUUUUCUACCAGAAUCGCGAAUUACAUGCUAUGAAUAAAUAAAAUAUUUUGUCUCUAUGUAAUCUAUGUUUAAAUGUAUUUUGUCGCGCUGUACAUCGAUAAAGUAGGAAUCAUUUUGCGCUAUAGAGGAGAUGUGAAAUAGAAAAAUUAAAGAAUCAAUGUAAAAAGAUAAGUGGAGUGGUUAUACAGUUGUUGAAUAUCUUUAUAGGACACAAGUGUAAAGUUUAUUUGUUGUUUCUUCAUUUUACCAUAAGGUAUUUAUAUAUUAAGUAGAUAAUAAUUCGUUUUAUAAUAUGAAAAGAUAUUAGUUUUGUUUGUUUUGAUUACAAAAAACAUUUUUUUAAUAACAAUGAAGUACUUAUCAUAGUUAAUGUAAUUAAAUGUAAAAUUAAAGGUAAAUUUGUAUCUAUAAGGAUUUAGUGAAACUUGUGGGGGUGGGAACAGAUUUUUAAUGAGACGAUUUUGAUUCAAAAUUAAUUUUUUUAUUUUUGAAAGAAAACGACUAGAUUAAUAUUUUUUAUUUAUUAAUUUUGUAUGAAGUAAUUAUAUAAAUAUAAUUUAUACAAUUAUCAAUACCAUGUUGUAAAAAACAUAAUAUAUAUAUAAUAUAACUAAACAGAUAACUUAAUAUUAUUAUAGUCUUAUAUAAAGUAAAUUACAUCACUGCUCGUCGGUUUCAGACUUUAUGAGCCCUUUUUUCUAGAACAAAAAAUAAUUUUAUAAACAAAUUUACUAAAACUGAUUUAUAUAAUGAUAUAUAAAAGAAAAUUUGUUUUUUUUUUAUUGAAACCGUAAGACCAAGACAAUAAAAACAGAUUUUGGUUACUAACUUAGCAUAUUCUAACCUAACUUCUUAUAUGUUAAAACCCAAAGUGCAUUUUGUAAUAUUUUCUACAUUUAAUUUUAUAUGUUAUAUAAUAGUAUAAAAAUUUAAGUAAAAUUACAAUAAAAACCAUACCUUUAGUUUUUCUUUGGAACAUAUGAUUCUGAGCAAAUAUUUUUUGCUGACAUCGGCGAUACAACUCUACAUUCACAAUCUAAACCUUCUUGGUAAUUGGCGAUCGUGUCUACAACAUUGUAAGCGGCUACGUGAGCAAAAUUUUUGCGUUGAUCGGCUUUGGCAUCUAAGAAGUUGUUUGAAACAAAAACGUUACCACGAUUCUAAAAUAAAAAACAUUUAAUCAAACAACAAUAAGGUGUUUAUAAUAUUAUUUAUAUAAUUCAUGAUAAAAUUAACCAUUUGAAAUUAGAAAUUGAUCAUAUUUAUGACGUUGAAUCUUUUAAAGUCUCUCAAAAAGAAGGAAAAUGAUUUAAAAUCCAAAUGAAUCGCUUCGAAAUACCACAUCAUUCAAUAAGUCGUGUGACUAACUAAGAAAAACACAUUUUUUUUGCCAAAAAUCAAUUUAAUUAUCAAUGUAAUCUCCUUCAAAAGCAAUACAAUCAUUCCAACGCUUCUCUAACUUCUCAAUGGCUUCAGUUUUAGCGAAUGCUUCUCAUUUGAGCUGAAUUUUUCAACGGUGAGCAUUUUUUUGAGAUUAGCGAAUAGCCAGUAGUCACUGGGGGCCAGAUCUGGAUUAUACGGUGGAUGAGAAAGCGAUUCGAAGUGUAAUUCGUUCGCUGCAUUGUUUUAGUAAAACGGUAGUUUUUCUCUCCCAUUUGGAGAUGGUUGAUAAACGAUAUUUCAUGCGCAUCUCAAAAAAACUGAAACCAUAACCUUCCCAGUUGACUGUUGUGUCUUCGGACGUGGUUCACGUGGUGAUGAUAUAUCUUCGAAUUUAAAAAAAUGGACCGGAUGGAAUGGAUUUGAAGAUAUCGUUCAUGGGGAUACCAGAAACUCGCGAACACGGCCAAAACAAGCCAGUUACAAGCGUUUCCAGAGAUAAGAAAAUGCAAUUCUGUUCCUAUGAUAACUGAAGUGAUCAGCAAGACAUGGUUUGUCAAAAAGUUAGGAAUAUCUCUGGUAUGUAUGUAAGUAUGAUUCAUAAACCAAAUCUGCUGUCGAAAUCGCGUAAUGUAGCAACGAAGCAACCCUUCACCUAGUAGAAUGUUUUAACGGCGAAGUCGACAAUUAUAGAGAAUUUUUUUAAGCCGUAUCAACACACAUCAACAUCGUAUUCUCCAAAAUUGAAGCAUUGAUCUUAACUCCAAAUUCGGAUUGGAAUAAGACAGGAUUUGGAUACGUUUAGGCUGACAUAGUAUGAUUGGUUCAUUUAGUUUAUAAUCGUAACGAAUAAUCGAUUAUUAUUCAUUCAUUCAUAACUCAAUAAAAACCAAUCGAGAUACGUUGUACUUAAAAACUUGGAAUUGGCAAAAAAUUUACCUUAACAGUAAAAUCAACGCAAUAAUCAUCGUAUUGAAGGUCUUUAUAAAGUUCGGCUGAGCCAUCUGGUUUUUUCUUUCCUUGACUAAACGUGAAAACGUGUUCGCUGUUGAAACCAAUCACAUCAGACGUUUUCUUCUGGUCUUUGACGUGGAAAUUUUCGAAUGGAGUGAACAAGUGUAUGGAGAUUUGAUUGUUCUUGAAUAAUAAAGUUCUAAGUUUCUGUAGCUGAAAAAACAAAAAAUAAUAACAACAUAUUUCGAUGUAUUACAAAUUUUAUGGAUGGGAAAAGUCAAUAAUCAUACUUGCAGGAUGGACGCAAAAAAAGACAAUUUAAAUGAGAAUGAAACAACGGAGGAAAGGAAAAUGAGGUUAGUGAACACUAAGAAAAACACAGAAAAUGAUGAUGAAGAAUUGUAUAAGAAAAAGAGGUGAUGGAAAAUACUUGCCUGUGAAAGAAAAGUUUGAAAAAAUGGAUCGAACAUGACACGGAAUCCCAUUUGGACUCCUCAAAGGAAAUAACGAAGGCAGCGCUGACGCCUACUUUGAAGGAAAAACUCGAUAAUUUCAGAUAGAACAUAGACACAAAGAAGUCAAUUCAGAUAAGAACGAAUUCCCAAAAA